UGGGGAAUAUUGGACAAUGGGGGCAACCCUGAUCCAGCCAUGCCGCGUGAGUGAUGAAGGCCUUAGGGUUGUAAAGCUCUUUUACCUGGGAAGAUAAUGACUGUACCAGGAGAAUAAGCCCCGGCUAACUUCGUGCCAGCAGCCGCGGUAAUACGAAGGGGGCUAGCGUUGUUCGGAAUCACUGGGCGUAAAGCGCUUGUAGGCGGAUUUUUAAGUCAGGGGUGAAAUCCCGAGGCUCAACCUCGGAACUGCCUUUGAUACUGGAAAUCUUGAGUAUGGAAGAGGUUGGUAGAACUGCUAGUGUAGAGGUGAAAUUCGUAGAUAUUAGCAAGAAUACCAGUGGCGAAGGCGGCCAACUGGUCCAUUACUGACGCUGAGAAGCGAAAGCGUGGGUAGCAAA
RNAcentral lists this ribosomal RNA (400 nucleotides) under uncultured bacterium. RNAcentral describes it as "bacterial SSU rRNA". It matches the Rfam family "Bacterial small subunit ribosomal RNA", at positions 355 to 772 of the family's 1533-position model. The record is from RNAcentral.